UCCUACGGGAGGCAGCAGUGGGGAAUUUUGGACAAUGGGCGCAAGCCUGAUCCAGCAAUGCCGCGUGUGUGAAGAAGGCCUUCGGGUUGUAAAGCACUUUUGUUCGGGAAGAAAAGGACUGGGCUAAUAUCCUGGUCUGAUGACGGUACCGGAAGAAUAAGCACCGGCUAACUACGUGCCAGCAGCCGCGGUAAUACGUAGGGUGCAAGCGUUAAUCGGAAUUACUGGGCGUAAAGCGUGCGCAGGCGGUUUGUUAAGACAGAUGUGAAAUCCCCGGGCUUAACCUGGGAACUGCAUUUGUGACUGGCAAGCUAGAGUAUGGCAGAGGGGGGUGGAAUUCCGCGUGUAGCAGUGAAAUGCGUAGAUAUGCGGAGGAACACCGAUGGCGAAGGCAGCCCCCUGGGCCAAUACUGACGCUCAUGCACGAAAGCGUGGGGAGCAAACAGGAUUAGAUACCCUGGUAGUCCACGCCCUAAACGAUGUCAACUAGUUGUUGGGGAUUCAUUUCCUUAGUAACGUAGCUAACGCGUGAAGUUGACCGCCUGGGGAGUACGGUCGCAAGAUUAAAACUCAAAUGAAUUGACGGA
RNAcentral lists this ribosomal RNA (587 nucleotides) under uncultured bacterium. RNAcentral's name for it is "bacterial SSU rRNA". It matches the Rfam family "Bacterial small subunit ribosomal RNA", at positions 337 to 917 of the family's 1533-position model. The record is from RNAcentral.